This 405-nucleotide ribosomal RNA is filed under the name uncultured Pseudomonadota bacterium. RNAcentral's name for it is "bacterial SSU rRNA". It matches the Rfam family "Bacterial small subunit ribosomal RNA", at positions 39 to 485 of the family's 1533-position model. Lineage: Bacteria; Pseudomonadati; Pseudomonadota. The record is from RNAcentral.
GCGGCAGGCUUAACACAUGCAAGUCGAGCGCCCUUCGGGGAGCGGCGGACGGGUGAGUAACACGUAGGUAACGUACCUUCUGGAGGGGGAUAACCUCGGGAAACUGAGGCUAAUACCGCAUAUGCCCACUGGGUAAAAGCGUUAGCGCCAGAAGACCGGCCUGCGGCCCAUUAUUUAAUCCUAGUUGGUGAGGUAACGGCUCACCAAGGGUACGAUGGGUAGCUGAUCUGAGAGGAUGAUCAGCCACACUGGGACUGAGACACGGCCCAGACUCCUACGGGAGGCAGCAGUGGGGAAUAUUGGACAAUGGGCGAAAGCCUGAUCCAGCCAUGCCGCGUGUGUGAUGAAGGCCUUCGGGUUGUAAAGCACUGUCGGGGGGGAAGAAGAUCUGACGGUACCCCCCCA